Molecule: non-coding RNA, 200 nt
Organism: Biomphalaria pfeifferi
Lineage: Eukaryota; Metazoa; Mollusca; Gastropoda; Planorbidae
Source: the annotation of a GenBank genome assembly
AUCUGGUAUUCCAUCAUUGUCAUCAUCAUCAUCUAUAUAAUCAGGUAUACCAUCCUCAUCUGUAUCUAUUUCUUGAUAAUCUGGAAUUCCAUUUUUAUUUAUGUCCAAUGUCUUAAGUUGAUCAGGUAUACCAUCACCAUCAUCAUCAUCAUCCAAACUAUCUGGAAUACCAUCGUUGUCAUCAUCAUCAUCUAAAUAAU